GACGAACGCUGGCGGCGCGCUUAACACAUGCAAGUCGAACGGAAAGGCCUGCUUUCCCUUGUGGAUUGCGGGUACUCGAGUGGCGAACGGGUGAGUAACACGUGAGUGAUCUGCCCCCAACUUGGGUAUAAGCCUGGGAAACUGGGUCUAAUUCCCGAUAGGACUGCAGGGUGGUGCCUGUGUUGGAAAACGAUUUUCUAGUGGUUGGGGAUGAGCUCGCGGCCUAUCAGCUUGUUGGUGGGGUAAUGGCCUACCAAGGCGGCGACGGGUAGCCGGCCUGAGAGGGUGGACGGCCACAUUGGGACUGAGAUACGGCCCAGACUCCUACGGGAGGCAGCAGUGGGGAAUAUUGCACAAUGGGCGGAAGCCUGAUGCAGCGACGCCGCGUGGGGGAUGACGGCCUUCGGGUUGUAAACUCCUUUCGACCGCGAGGAAGCCACCUGGUUGGAAGGGUGGUGACGGUAGUGGUAGAAGAAGCACCGGCUAACUACGUG
Molecule: ribosomal RNA, 494 nt
Filed under: uncultured bacterium
Lineage: Bacteria
Description: partial 16S ribosomal RNA
Rfam family: Bacterial small subunit ribosomal RNA
Source: RNAcentral